Molecule: non-coding RNA, 115 nt
Organism: Triticum aestivum (bread wheat)
Lineage: Eukaryota; Viridiplantae; Streptophyta; Magnoliopsida; Poales; Poaceae
Source: Rfam
GACAUACUCCCUCCGUUCGGAAUUACUUGUCAUAAAAAUGGAUGUAUCUAUAACUAAAAUACAUUUAGAUACAUUCCUUUCUUCGACAAGUAAUUCCGAACGGAUGGAGUAUAUA